Molecule: ribosomal RNA, 497 nt
Filed under: uncultured bacterium
Lineage: Bacteria
Description: partial 16S ribosomal RNA
Rfam family: Bacterial small subunit ribosomal RNA
Source: RNAcentral
GAUGAACGCUGGCGGCGUGCCUAAUACAUGCAAGUCGAGCGAACGGACGAGAAGCUUGCUUCUCUGACGUUAGCGGCGGACGGGUGAGUAACACGUGGAUAACCUACCUAUAAGACUGGGAUAACUUCGGGAAACCGGAGCUAAUACCGGAUAAUAUUUUGAACCGCAUGGUUCAAAAGUAAAAGACGGUCUUGCUGUCACUUAUAGAUGGAUCCGCGCUGCAUUAGCUAGUUGGUAAGGUAACGGCUUACCAAGGCAACGAUGCAUAGCCGACCUGAGAGGGUGAUCGGCCACACUGGAACGGAGACACGGUCCAGACUCCUACGGUAGGCAGCAGUAGGGAAUCUUCCGCAAUGGGCGAAAGCCUGACGGAGCAACGCCGCGUGAGUGAUGAAGGUCUUCGGAUCGUAAAACUCUGUUAUUAGGGAAGAACAGAUGUGUAAGUAACUGUGCACAUCUUGACGGUACCUAAUCAGAAAGCCACGGCUAACUACGUG